UCCGAUUUGUCACCGGCAGUCUCCCUAGAGUCCCCGACAUAACUCGCUGGCAACUAGGGACAGGGGUUGCGCUCGUUAUAGGACUUAACCUGACACCUCACGGCACGAGCUGACGACAACCAUGCAGCACCUUGUAAUCUGCCCGAAGGAAAAGCUGUUUCCAGACCUGUCAGACUACAUUUAAGCCCUGGUAAGGUUCCUCGCGUAUCAUCGAAUUAAACCACAUGCUCCACCGCUUGUGCGGGCCCCCGUCAAUUCCUUUGAGUUUCAUUCUUGCGAACGUACUCCCCAGGUGGGUUACUUAUCACUUUCGCUUAGCCACUCAGUCUUGCGACCGAACAGCUAGUAACCAUCGUUUACGGCUAGGACUAC
Molecule: unclassified non-coding RNA, 372 nt
Filed under: uncultured Flavobacteriaceae bacterium
Lineage: Bacteria; Pseudomonadati; Bacteroidota; Flavobacteriia; Flavobacteriales; Flavobacteriaceae
Description: contains 16S-23S intergenic spacer region
Source: RNAcentral